CCCUUAGAUGUUCUGGGCUGCACGCGUGCCACACUGAUAUUGCCAAUAUGUCAUUCUUAUCCGAAAUGGAUUGGGUAAUCAAGUAAUGAAAUUUCAUGCUUGGAAUCGGUAAUUGCAAUUUUAUCGUGAACGAGGAAUUCCUAGUAAGCACUAGUCAUCAGCUAAUGUUGAUUAUGUCCCUGCCCUUUGUACACACCGCCCGUCGCUACUACUGAUUGGGUGUUCAAGUGAGAUGCUUAGACCCUUGUUGCAUGGUUCAUUAUUGUGCUCCGAAGGGAAAAAGUUUCAAGCUUGAGUGUCUAGAGGAAGUAAAAGUCGUAACA
RNAcentral lists this ribosomal RNA (323 nucleotides) under uncultured eukaryote. RNAcentral's name for it is "partial 18S ribosomal RNA". It matches the Rfam family "Eukaryotic small subunit ribosomal RNA", at positions 1470 to 1796 of the family's 1831-position model. The record is from RNAcentral.